RNAcentral lists this transfer RNA (59 nucleotides) under Vibrio cholerae. RNAcentral's name for it is "tRNA-Arg". It matches the Rfam family "tRNA", at positions 9 to 64 of the family's 71-position model. From Rfam's summary of the family: Transfer RNA (tRNA) molecules are approximately 80 nucleotides in length. Their secondary structure includes four short double-helical elements and three loops (D, anti-codon, and T loops). The record is from RNAcentral. Lineage: Bacteria; Pseudomonadati; Pseudomonadota; Gammaproteobacteria; Vibrionales; Vibrionaceae. RNAcentral also lists the same sequence under 2 other names.
AGCUCAGCUGGAUAGAGUACCUGGCUACGAACCAGGCGGUCAGAGGUUCGAAUCCUCUC